RNAcentral lists this ribosomal RNA (301 nucleotides) under uncultured bacterium. Its description in RNAcentral is "partial 16S ribosomal RNA". It matches the Rfam family "Bacterial small subunit ribosomal RNA", at positions 509 to 807 of the family's 1533-position model. The record is from RNAcentral.
CAGCCGCCACGGUAAUACGUAGGGGGCAAGCGUUAUCCGGAAUGAUUGGGCGUAAAGCGUCUGUAGGUGGCUUUUCACGUCCGCCGUCAAAUCCCAGGGCUCAACCCUGGACAGGCGGUGGACACUACCAAGCUGGAGUACGGUAGGGGCAGAGGGAAUUUUCGGUGGAGCGGUGAAAUGCGUUGAGAUCAGAAAGAACACCAACAGCGAAAGCACUCUACUGGGCUGACGCUGACACUGAGAGACGAACGCUAGGGGAGAAAAUGGGAUUAGAUACCCCCGUAGUCCCUGUCUCUUAUAC